UCAAAGUUUUAUUCUGGCUUGAAUCCUCGAUAUUAGAUUAAAACACAUGUAAACAUUAGUGCGACAAUGUGGCGAGCGCCUCAAAGGGCUAUGCUCUGAUAUACUUGAAAUUACUCUAUAAUAGCUAAAUUCUCAGUGUUCAGUGCUAAUUAAUAUGAUCGAAAGUUCGAAUUGGUUAUUGUAAUAAAAAGUUAAUGACCGGUCAAAAUUUGUGCCAGCAGCCGCGGUUAGACUAAGGGUUAAAUUGAGAAAACGUUGGUUAAAAGUAAUUAAGCGUAAACUUUAAGAAACUGAUUGGUUUAUAUUAAUAAAAGGUGAAAUUAAGUUUUUAAUUAUUAAAUCAAUUAGUCAUAAUUAAACAGGAAUGUUGAAGUUACUAAGACAAAGAAAUAAACUAGGAUUAGAUACCCUAUUAUACCUUGUUUCAAACAAUACAACCCGGGUAAUAAACAGUUAUAGUCUUGAAACUCAAAGAAUUUGGCGGUAGCUUAGUCUACUUAGAGGAACCUGUCCUGUAAACGACAAACCACGAAAGAUCUUACCUUAUUUUGUAAAUAAUCAGCUUGUAUACCGUCAUUACUAGAUAACUUUAUUGAAACACUAGUUAUUAUAAUAAAACACUUUUAGGAUAUUAGAUCAAGGUGCAGCUAAUAAAAAGGUAGAGAUGGGUUACAAUAAAAAAAGUUAGAACGAAUUAAAGAAUUAAAAUUCUUUGUGAAGGAGGAUUUAAAUGUAAAAGCACUUUUAAUAAGUUGCUUUGAUUUUUAGCUCUAAGCUAUGUACACAUCGCCCGUCGCUCUCGUUAGUUAAAGCGAGAUAAGUCGUAACAUAGUAGGUGUACCGGAAGGUGUACCUAGAGAGCA
RNAcentral lists this non-coding RNA (863 nucleotides) under Parasergestes vigilax. Lineage: Eukaryota; Metazoa; Arthropoda; Malacostraca; Decapoda; Sergestidae. The record is from RNAcentral.